CCCCGUUGUAACAAAUAAGUUCUCAAGGGCCCAAGUCGACCAGAUCUUCGGUUUAUUCGACAGAACAGCUCAUGCGAUGGCAAAUCGCCUAUCAGACUUAAAACCACGCAUCAUUUAACAGGAAGGCGAUUGCUUCUACGGCCAUACUAGUCAUUUGGGAGCUUUUAGAACGAAAGAAACGCGAGGGUCAUUCGUAACAUCUCGACCAUGCCGCUUAUUAUCUUCUACAAGAUCAAGAAUGAAGCUCGCAAUUGGGCGCUCGGGGGCGCUGAGCAUAUGAGUAGUAUUAUGCCGGGAGAGUAAGCUUUUGUUGCUUUUUUUUUUCUUUUUCCUUUCAACCUUGUUCGAACUCUUUCUUAUUUAAUGAGAUGAGGCGAAGCUUUUGCCUCCAUUUUGAAAAAAAAACACAAGUGAGUACGUCAUAUCACACAACCAUGAUGAAUUACUCCAGCGAGGCUAAAUGGAGUAUUACAAAUGGACAUUUUUGUCUUUCCACAUUUUGCAUGGCUAAAAAAUUUUUAAAAAUAGAUGGAGCCUUUCUCUCGCAGUCCCGUUUCCAGUCCGCCACCGUCCUCGCGGGCGCGCUGCCGCCUUACCGGCCGCGGCCGCCUCUGCCUUUGCCCCGCACGCAGCCGCCACCUUACCAGCCCGCCACUGCUGUCCUUGCCGCACGAGCCGCCGCUGCUCUUCCAGCGCACCGCCGCUGUCCUCGCCGCGGUUGCGCCCAUCACUACCCCUUGUGCCCACAGCGGGCGUCGUCACCGGCCCACCUCCUUCUCUCUCCGUGUCGGUGCCGUGCUCGCCCUCGUCCAGCGGGCCGCCGCCCACGACCAGUCGCUUAGCUGUUGCCCUAGCGCGCGCUGCCGCCUCCGUCGACCUCGCCCUUGCAUGCGCCGCCGCCGCCCUCAACCAACACCAGCCUCACCCUCCACCCACCCAGCCACCCUCCACCCAACCCGCGCCGCUGACCUCGCAGCGUGCCGCUCCAUUCUGCCCUCGCCGUCCUCGUCCCCGGUGCUCUGCAACCGCCCUCCACCCAGCAGUGUAGCGUCGUGACAUCGGGUGGCCUCCGCCGGCGGCGGAAGCUCCUGCGAACAGGGCCAAGAAAGGGCGUUCGGUUGUGUUUCGGGAUAUAUUUUUUUUUUUUUGGGGGGGGGGGGGCAGCUGUGAGAUCACAUCUUUGCUUUUACUUCUGAGUACUUCGUCCUAUUACUCCACACACCUCAAUUGGAGUAUCAGGGAGUAUUAACACAUCUGAGUCCUUGGAUCUAAAAAAUAGACGGUCCAAAUUAAUUUUGGGAUACCGUAGAAGAACUCAUGUAUAACAGCUGUAAUGCAUGUGGAGUAUUAACACAUGCAUUACGUCGGUCCAUCGAACAGGACGUACAUUGCGCAGGCAGAGGCAAAGAUAGACGACCUGAACCUGCUAGCUACAGUGAACCACGACGUUAUCUGAACACUGGUAGAGAUGGACCAUACUCGUCGGCGUCACCGGCCGCUGGAAAGGACAGGGAGUUGAUCUAUAGACGAUAGGAAGUUAGGAACACCAUUGCAUCUGCCUCUGUCCUCUGAUACGGUUGUGAUGGCGGCAAUUGACCGAUACAUCAGCUGCGUAACCACUCCUUGACCCUAUCUUCUGCAAAAGCUCUCAGUUUGCCUUUUUCCUGGGCAGACCUGAGCUGAGCAAACCUUCACGCGUCACGCUAUGCGUAGACAUCGCGACGCGUAUGAGGUUAUAAUCAUCUAUUCCUGAUCUGGAUCGGCUCAGGUUACUUGGAAGUUGGAACUUGUUUGCAUUGAUAGGGUAGAGUUGGAGUCAACCCAUACUCGACUCGAGUGCACUUCUGCCAUCUUUUCGCACAAAAGUAGUCUCGUGGGAGUACAAUCACAUGACAAUUUAACGACGUUUUCAAGGUCAACAUUAGAAAAGAAGAAGUCUUGGGCUGUGUAUUGGUGCAAUUGUAUGUAUCUAACUAUCUAAAGUGUAUGGGAACCUAGUUUGGACAUCAGUAAUUCAGUAUGCGUUUAGCGAAACAUACAGUCCAAUCUGUACUGUUAAAUUUGUCACUCAAAUCUUAGCUACAGGCAUUAGUGAACCAAACAUCAGGGAUCAGACCACAAGAUGCUUCGUGAUCUUAACAGAAACAGGGCGACGCUCCGUACUUCACAGACAAGGCAUGUGACAUAGAAAGAGGCUGAAAGAUGUGUACACACCUUAACACCUAGAACAGUGAAACAAAAGUGGCAGUGAAGACCAAAAACGCAACAACACGGAGAUUGGGACACAAAGGUAGCUACUUGUACUGAUAACUGAUAUCAGAACGUUUAUCUGAGAACACACAGCAGGCGAUGGAGCCGCAUGAUAGGACCAAAGAAACCCCAAUCUGGUGCUUACGGCGAGACCCGGCUCAGGUGAUCAUUUUCUGGCCAUCGUCGGCGCAUUCUCGCUCGCAAACCUGAUUGCAGUAGUCUCCAGGUAACCCCAUGGCAAAGCAGCCCCCAGUGCACCGGGUGAAGCAAUCGAAGCCGAAACCGGCAGUGUUCCCGGGCCGCAGCAGGAAGUUGGGUGACGCCGGCUGCUCGUCGUUGUCACCGGCAGCUGCAGAGGCAGAGCCCAUGACCACGAGCAGGAGGAACGCGGCCGCGAUGACCCUUGGUGUGGCUGUGAUUGUGGCCAUAAUGGUCCACCUGAUCGUGCCUUUCUGAGCAGCUCUCUUGGUUUCACCUGAACCGGCUGUCACUGCAGAGCUAACUGUGGGGACUGGGGAGGCUUGAGAGCGAUAUAUAGCGAGAGAGAAACUGACCUUACAUAACCAAUUGGCCAUGAUCCUGUGGUCCUGGUGGAACCUGAUAAACUUCCGUUUCUCCUCUGAUGAUCUGAUCGCCAGGUAUAUCCUAUAGCACAGUUGCUGCCUCGAGAUGAUAGUACUAGAUCAUGGCAUUGAUUGGAGGGCUCGGUGUCAAACUGUCAUUACGCAAGUUAACAUGUGAUUAGUAACAUGUACAUGCACCAACCAGCAAUUCUAAAAGCUCGAAACUGUUAAUGGACGUUGUCCGGGAGAGGUGGCGACCAUGCGCAACGACGACGGGGAAGCAGGAGAGCUGAAGAGGCGGGGCGUCGCGAAGGAGGUGUCGGCGAGAGGUGACAGGUGCGGACCACUAUUGGCGUCGGCGUCUCCUGCUAUGCAGGUUGUAAUCAUGUGAUUACUGAGUUCACGCACCAAGAGAUUAUAGAAGCUAAGAAUUGCUCAAGGAACAGUCACGAUCGGUCCCAGUUAAGUAAUCUGUGCGCACAUGGCUGCCAAGUGCAAACAGAUGACAUGUUAAUUCCUCUGUCAAAUGUGACUUGUUAGCCGAUGGGGCAGACAGACAUCAAAGCAUUCAAAUCGGUGGCCAGUGUAAUGUGGCGACUUCAACUUGAGGCAAAACGAACAGCAGCAUAUCAUAUCACCUGCAUCACUUUCGACAUUAUGAAGGCCCUUUCAAGAACAGCAGGCAUCAAUGAACAAAAUGACCAUUAUCUCACUGCUCAGAGCAGAAGAAAUUGGUUAACUCUAAAUAAUCAGAUGCUCCCGAUCCCACAGAACAGACAAGGAUAUCAGAUUCAGUAGUAUAAGAACCUACGGUUUUCCAAGAUGCAUCCGCUGUCGUCGCAUCUUGUUCAGUUCUUUCAGUUCUGCUGGUAGAAGCACCAUCAUCUCAAAUCUUAAUUAGGAUAUGUUUCCAUUAUUGUUCUGCAUCACUAUAUCAUAUCAAGGCCAUGGAUUGCUCCUUCCAGUUCCACCCCUUGAGCCAAACAAGAAAAUAAGGAACAAGUUGAUCCCAUGAGCAGCCAUUCCUCAAAGAAGCCAAAUAGACCCUAUCAGCACCAACGGAUGGCUGCAAUAUCAUGAACAAAACACUAGUUUUUCCAAAACAAAACUUUGAUGCGCCCACAACAAAUGAUACUGUAAUAUACUCAGUCAAUAAUGGAGUAAAACAAAAUGAUCCAUUACCUCAUUUAGCCAAGUAAUUAUACUCCCCGCGUUUCAUAUUAAGUGCCGAAAUAUUACAUGUAUCUAGACAUGUUUUACUAUAUAGAUACGUUCAUAUUUAGACAAAUUUGAGUCACUUAAUAUGGGACGGAGGGAGUACAAAUAGAGAUUCCUUAAGUGAUAACCGAUAAAUAAAGAUCAUGAAAAUUCAGGUAGGGUGACUCCAUACGACGACAAUAAUAUCUCCCAAGCCAUCUUUCAGAUAUUGUGCUGAUAACCUGGAAUAUAUUUCAGAACUGUGUGAAUCCUAGAUGUAGAAAUAUUGAUCGAUUUAGAGACCAAGAACCAUAUGCUGCCAAUACAAGUACACUGUAGCUAAACCAAAGCAUAUAACAUAUCGGAAUGAAACUAUCUCCUGAUGUUUGUUUAGUAUCCUGCAGUUACCUCAGUACAAAAUGCCUUCAGUUUAAUUUUACAAAGAAAGAGAGUAAGAAAGCCAACCAUGGAUCCAUAUUUUCUUUCCAUUCCAGAUCACACUAGUUCUUUUUCUACCAUUGGAUUUUUCUAGGUUGCUACUACUAAGAGUCUUAGAAUAUGGCAUUAUGAACAGGGACAGCGUUGGCCUGCUGACUAACAUACCCUACAUACUGACAGCCGUAAAAUGGAAAGGACAAAGAACGAGUGGGGCUUCUAACCUCAAACUGAUGGUGUGCCAUCUGAAGAGAACUAGUGCAAACAAGCUGAAAGGUGGGCACAUCUUAAUGUUUGAUGACAGGCCUACAUGUUAUGCCAGGAACAAAUGGUAAUUUAAGAACUGUACUGGCAGUUAACCAGCAAAAAAACAUGUAUAUCCAAGGAAAUGAUGUUAUAGAACUCAUCACAGAUUCACAAACCAGUAAGCUAACAGCAUUGUCUUCAUAAUUUGUUGUGUGCGUAAUUUAUAUGCUCCAGCCAUCUGAGCAAUGCAGAACUUGGAUCAUUUGAGGGGGAAAUCUGGAAAUGUCAAAUGGAGCACUCUUCCAAUAAUUUGCAUAGGUAUAUAUUCUUAAAGGCCACAUGGUUUACAUAUAUACUCCCUCCGUUCCAUAUUAAUUGGCGCGAAUUAAUAUGGAACGGAGGGAGUAGUAAGGUUUACAUUUCGAAAGAGCAAGCAAAUUAUACAUAGGACCUGAUCUGGAUCAUUUAUCAUAAGCAAAUUAACAAGGCAAGAUUUGAAACAAGUGCAAUUUUCUUAGCUAUUAUAUCAAUAGCAUUUAACAGGGGAAACAAGAGGAUGAUGAACAAUUAAGUAUAAACAGGAACACUUUAGUUAAUACUCCCUCCAUUUCCUUAUAUACCCCGCAUAGAGUUCUGCAAUUGUACCAAAGACAGCAGCCGCAAGGAAAUUGCAUACAGAUUUUGUGCUCGGUUGAAGCGCUGGAGUACUACACGAGAGAAGCUGAGUACUGCAUGCAUGCAUUAAUUCUUAAUGUUUCUAGGAAGCCAAGGAGCCAACGCGUUACAUUUUGGAAAAAAAUAGAAGAAAAAUAAAUUUGGGAAUUGAGGGAGUAGUCGUCAGCUAAUACACUGGAUGCAACUGAGAGGUAACAAUGAGAAUAACACAAAACUGCAUAGUUAUAACAUGUCCUGCUACAGGGGUCAAAAAAGUGUUGCACUAUAUUCACAGACGAGCACAAACACACAUGAACAGAGAAUUAAGUUCAUGUGGAGAAGUAAUAUUAAGAUGCUACGAUUAAAUAACUAGCAAAGAACAGAGCCAAAGCUCAAAUGUCUUGAAACAAGAUAGUAAUCAACAAAUGCACUAUACACAAGUUAAAAAGGUUGAAUUGAUUAAUCAGAAUGUAUAUCAGGGAAGAUAGGCUACUUUGAAGAUGCACCUACAGACACUACAUUAAAUUGGUGCAAGCUUAUGACCUUCUAGUAUACAGAAUAUACAAGACCUUCCUAGUAUCAGGGGCGGAUCACAAAUCUCACACGAGUCCAUGUCUAAAACUGGCAUCUCCUGCAUCGCCGCUGGAAUCCAAACCUACGGGUGAAUCAUACCACUUGGGCACGGAGUAGAAUCCAUCGACAUGUAGACCUAACAAACUUGAGUCGGUUACCAUGGUUUCAUCAUGCAUCAGUGGCUUAAUAAUCUUCGAAUCCUCAACGCCAUCAUCAUCCCCACAGUUAAGAAUACUCUUUUCAUCAAAGUCACCAGCAUUAUCCUUGAGCAUCCACUUAUCACACUUUGGGCUAUCACCCAUUAGCAUCUUUCUAUCCUCACACUCAGCUGCCAUUCUAUCCCACGAGACAAUAGGCCCGAGGCUCGAACCAAAAUCAGUGUCAUCGUCAUCAAGUAUUUCAUCAUCCUUGCAGAAUGCACCGUCAUGAUGAUCUAAGUGGUGGGCCACAUCAUCAGUCCCCCAUCCGCCAACAACCUCAUUGCCCAUCAUCAAUGUCUCCUCUGGUUGGUAGGUAUUGCCAUCCAAAGUAAACUUCCUAAUCCUGUGUAAAACCUCAGAUAGCUCACUGGAAAGAGAACCCAACAGUUCGGGGUGCAUCUUAACCACCUUCCCUUCUAAAGAGACCACCUCUGCUCUGAGAUCCCGGACUUGCUGCAAGACUGCCUGAUGCGAGUCGUCAAUAUCAACAUAUAUAUCUCCCUUAAUCGUAAAGUUAGGAUCAGCUUCCUCAUUGACAUCAUAAAUAUCUGGAUCAAACUCAAAUGUGCCCUUAUGUCCAACUAAUCUGUGAACAAUUCGAGCACUGCCAUCAAGUGGCCCAGGUUCAUGCCCCGAGUGCACCGCGUAAAGCUUGAACACUGCAGUGCCUUCCUCCUGAUAUACAAAACUUUUGUCUUUCUCGUUAUAAUUGGCUAUGGGCACUAUGGCCCGAAUACGGAACCCACAGCCGCACCUCUUCGACUGGUAUGGCUCGCGCUUCAGCCCCCGUGUCUUCUUCGCCUCGGAGGCACUAGCUGAAGAGGAUGCAGAAUUCCCAUUACUUGAAGUUGGUACCCCAGCUCGAUGGCACGCAUAAUCCUUCACUUCAGCCAUGAACGGCUUAUACCUUAUAUACUUCUGCCUAAUACAGAGGACCACCUUAUGCUUGGCAGCUAACUGCUGUAGCCGGCGUGGCACAUCUCGCGCAGGCACAUCCAGCGUCUCUGUAUAUUCAAACCGGCGGCGCCGCUUACCUCGUCCAGGGGAUGAGAUAGCAGAAUCAGGCAAUCCAGCAGGUGCAGCCUUACAAACAGGGCAGGCAGCAACACAUACACGGACGAAUGAUUCGGGAAUACCGUAGAAUUUGGCCCCCACAGUCCACGACUGCCUGAUACGGUCAACGGUGUCCUUGAGCCCGAGGUGGCGGAGCAGGUCUGGGUCGGCAUGCGCCUCCGAGACUAUGUCCUGCCACUGGCCGACAUGCGAGACGCGCUGCGCGGGGUUGGACUUGAACUGGAGAUACCUCCCGUCGGCCGAAGCUGCGAGCUUGUCCUGGAUGCGCUUCCACGCGGUGAGGUAGGCGGUAUCCUCGUUCCGGUCCUUCCACACCGCCCGCCACGAGGCGAGCACGGAGGGCGCCGUGGCGGCGCGGACCUCCUCGGCGGCGGCGGGGCGGCCCGCGAGGAGGCACCGCAGCAUGAGCGCAUGGGAGGCAGCGGUGAAGGUGUAGAACUGCGAGGAGAUGUGCGGCGUCGGGUCGACGUGCGGCAGCGCGAGGGAGGAGGCGACGCCGGAGCUAGGGUUCGGGCCGUGGAUUUGGAUCAGCGCCUCGUCGUCGGCGUCGACAUGGAGGAGGUAGCUGCACGGGCUAGGGUUCGGGGAGCUCGGGUCUGGGUCCGGCGGGUGGUGGGAUUUGAGGUAGGAGGAGGAGGGGAGGAGGGGAUUCAUGGGGGAGACGGUGGGGGAAGGCGACGAGGAGGUCUUCGGCAUAUCCGAUGGUUUAUUUUUUAUUUUUUGGGGAAACCUUUUUCCUCUUCCAAUUUCACGGCGCCUGGUGUUGAUCUUAUACCGUGCCUCUCUCUCUCUCCUGUCAGCGGGAUUGUGUGGGCUUUGUCUCACUGGAACUGGAACCUACCUGACAGAAGGCGUGACAUGGGCCCAAUGUGUCAGUUUUGUCCGGUGCGUUGGGCUCUUUGAGUUUCGUGGUAUACUGGACUGGCUCUGUUUGGACUUGGAGCGAGGCGAGUCGUAACCUGACAGCAGGGAACUGUGCCGGUGGGUCAGAGCUUUGGGGUCUGCUUUUACCGGUGAGUUGGGUCGUUCUCUAGAUUUUGGACGCUCAACAAGACGAAGAUUAGCUUACCCAAUCCUCAACCAGAACUGGCGCGCUCGCAUAUAUAUUUAUCCAAGCUUCUCACGCAUACUCAAGUUACCUUUUUCAUAUCACUAGCGAAAGGAUACCGCAGCAUCCAUGGCCCAAGUUCAUGCUGCUCUGGCGCUGUACAUCCUGCUCGUCCACGCCGUGGCUUGGCACGCGCAGGCGGCGUCGUACAACGUCGGGAACAGCGCCGGCUGGGAUAUCAGCGCGGAUCUCCCGUCGUGGGCCGACGGCAAGAAAUUCAACAUUGGUGAUGUUCUAGGUACGAAUCGAGACACGCCACAUCCUCUUCUUGGAAGAAGUUCUUUCUCAAUGGCUUAAAGAAGCAACGGCUUGCUACUUUUUUUCAGUAUACUUGAGUAUUUCGCAGCCGUUCGAUCACAAACCCUUUGCACAUUUAGAAACCAAACACAACCGCGUCACUGUCUCUUUGCGUUAUUUCAUUUCUGAACUUGCCAUGAUAUAGUUGGGCUAAUUAAUUACUGUUUUAGUAACGCUGUACUACUGCGAUUAAACUGUCUUAAUUGCAAUUUAACGGCGCUAAUUACUCUGUCCUCGCAUCGUGAUCGCAGUGUUCCAGUACUCCAAGUACCACACCCUGGACGAGGUCGACGCGGCUGGGUUCAAGAACUGCAGCGCGGCCAACGCGGUCUUCUCCAGCAGCGACGGCAACACGACGGUGCCACUGACGGCGAACGGCGACCGCUACUUCAUCUGCGGCAACCAGAUGCACUGCCUCGGCGGCAUGAAGCUGCAGGUGCACGUCGGCCCGCCAGGCUCCGGGGCGGGCGGAGCGCCCGCCGACGGCCCGCAGGCGAGCCCGGGCGCCGCGCUCGGGCCGGCGGCUGGCACUGGGAGCACCGAUGACGCGGGCAUCCCCACGCUCGUGCUCGGCGGGUCGCAUCGGCAUCGGCUAGGGGCGGGGGCCGUGCUGCUGGCCACGUGGUGGAUGUGUGUAGCUCUUCUUCUGUGAUGAGGAUUAUUUUGUUACAAAUCAUGUUCGCAACUUGUUUGUAAAUUUCGAAUCUACGUAAAGUUGUAGAAAGAAAUACAUAUGUUUUUUUAAUCUUCUAAGGUCAUUGUUAAUCAAGAUGAUUUUGCUAGUGGUUAUGUUGACAAUUAUUGAAGAUCUUGAUUUUGUUUUUUUUUCAUGGCUAUGACCUUGAAGUGGAAAAGAUUUGAAGGAGUGACAUGUUUCAAAAGUCGAAUAUGAUUAGUUGGAUGUGCAGUUGUUCCAUGAUAUACAACUGAUGUAUCACAUUUCAAAUCCCGAAAAUACAUCAACUUACGAUGAUAUGAACCGAGCUUCAGUCAUAAGGCGACCGUACCCUUUGACUUUGUUACGGGCAAAAUGCAACAAAUGCAUGUCGAGCUAGGUGUAGGAAGCGAAUUUAUAACACACAAAUUUGUCAAAAAUCAUAUUAAUUCAAAAAAUAUCAAUUUAAUUUACAAAGUUUGAGUUCGAAACUUCUUGGAGUUGUCAAUAGUCGAGAAUCAGCAACAUUUUUUUUGUAUUUUGCGUACUUAUAACUGUCAAGAGUAAAAAAUUAGCAACCAUUAUUUGUUUUACAUAUUGCAAGCAAGUCGGCAAGUCAUUCCAUUAUUGUGUAUUGUUGUCCACUCUCGCUUAUCUCUUUUCCUACCCAAACGAGCAAACCCAUGAGAAUCUCUAAAAACCUUCACCAUGGCAAGGAGGCUAAGAGUAUGCAGCAAAUUUACAGCCAACAAGUUUGUAAAAAUCCAUAUGGUGAAACCCUAAAUUUUUUGUCAGUUUAAAUUGAAAAUUUCGUUUUUCUUUGUAGGAAUGUACUCCCUCCAAUCCAUAUUAGUUGUCAAAAUAUUACAUGUAUCUAGACAUUUUUGAGAUAUAAAUACAUUCAUAUUUGGACAAAUUUAAGACAAUCAAUCAAUAUGGAUCGGAAGGAGUGAUUUUUUAGAACUAGCAAGCAGCUGUUCUUUGUCUUGCAUUUUGCAAACUGCAUUAUCGCGUCCACGCUGCCCACUCUCGCUUAUCGCUUCCCCUAUCCAAGCAUCCAACCCAGGAACUCACGGAAAACCCCCGAAAACCUCCGCCCGCCAUGGCGACCGCCGCCCAGGCCGCCGCCACUUUCAUUUCCUUUCUCUCAUCUUCCACCUACCACACCGCUCCCUCCUCUGCCGCCGUCUCCUUCCUGGUGAACCCUGCCCUGCCAGCCUCCCUCCGGGCCGCGGCCGCGGGGGCCCAAAUCCUCGCCUCCCGCUGCCGGGGCCGCCGCGUCGCCGCCGCCGUUGCUCAGCUCCCCACCAUGUGAGCACGAUUAGUAAUACUGCGAUCCCUAGGCAAUUGUUCCUCAUAAUCAUUUCUGAACUUGACCCGUUUCCUCUCCAAGUCUUCAAUCUCUUGGAAUUUAACGCCUGAUAUAACCUCUUAUCUUGCGCGAUUUGACUAUUUUAUUUUUUGGUCCUGUGCUGAUCUUGCUUCCGGAAUUAUCGUUGUGUAGGAACCCAGAGCUAGCUUCAGGGGAGAAGAAAUUCCGGUUUGCUACAAUUCCCUUGAUAUUUCGGCAUCAUGUGUCUCUAUACUGGGAGUUGAUAUGGGGAUUAAUUGCUCACAGGUGGUCAUCAAGGGCGGUGCGGUCAUUUGCAAUGGCGGAGCUAGAGGCACGAAAGAUGAGGUACCCAACCACAGGCACGGAGGGGCUCCUUAUGGGAAUACUCGUUGAGGGUGAGCAAAGCCACGAAUGGUCUUAUGCUUCCACCCAAACGCUUGCUUAUUUGCAUGUUUGGUGGUCAUAUAAGCAACUUAAGAGUGGUAAAUUAUUUGUGAACUGUGAUUUCGAUUUGGGAUAAGAUGAAAUAGGAGAAUGGAGAAUGAUAUAGGAGUUUCAGUAAAAAAAAAAAGAAUGAUAUAGGAGUAAGGUGCGUGCAGAUUUCUCACCAGAAAGAUACUAGAAGUUGGUCCUAGACUAAUGAUUGUAUGUUUAUCUAAGAAUAUCUGUGACAGAUUAGAUAGGAACUAUUUUUUGUUCAUGAGCAUGUGUAGUGUACACUAUAGAGAUAAAUAUAUUUCUUCGAAACUGUGAAAAAGUUUUUUCUUUUUGCGUGCAACGCCUGCAUGUAUAGUGAAUAUACAGAACGGGGAGAAGGAUGCCAUGAAUAAUGUACAGAAGUAAGUAUAACACAAAAUGACCUUUUUAGCGGCUUUUGGCAUUGACUAGUCAUGUAUUUCUCAAGCACUGACGCCAUCUAUUUAUGUAUAUGGAUGACAAUCAACUAGUUACUAGCAUCUAAUGAUGCAAAACCUUACGAGCCCAAAGUUUGUGAUAGUAUGCCAUGCAGGUCUCGUAGUACUCCUUAUACGCCUUAUAUUACGAAAUUGAGGGAGUAUGAUAAUAGCAAUAUGAGGUUUGAAGGAGUAUAUUGGUUUGGUUAUCCCAUAAAUAAGACACUAAAAAAUAUGUGGCCAACUGUUUACAGAAAAAUAAAAUAAAGGAAAAUAAGGCUUCAGUGUAAGAUGGUUGUGGAGUAUCCAAACCCUUUUAUCGGUUCAUGACACCAGAGAAUUCCGUACCUCUUUUUGUUGUCUUAUGGAGAUUGGGGUGAAGAGAAUUGCAGGGUCUUCUAUAAAUAAGGUUACCUGUGAUAGUUUAUAUGUGCUAACAGAUGCUGCAAUUCCAACCAAGACCUUAUGGGUGUUGGUUCACGUACAAUUUUCUUUCAAAAUAAUUAGUUAUUUUUUGAAGUGUGACAAACUGUUUUGUGCUCCAACACAGUGUAUGCAUGCUUUAUGUCGAAGCCUCUUAGCUGUCAGCAGUUCUAGUUGACAUCUAAAGAUUGCUGGUGACAUGUUUUACCGUCAUGUUCCUAACUGUUGAGCUGACAUUUGUUGUUAUAUCUGUUUUUUACAUCGUUAUACCUAUUUCACCGCACUGAACCACGGAUUUAUUGCUUUCAGGAACUAGUGAUGCGGCAAAACUUCUGCGUGCUAAUGGAAUCACGUUGCUCACAGUGCGGGACGCAGCAGCGGAAGUACUUGGGAAGUCAGAAAUGUUUUACUUCAGUCCUAUGCAUCCACCAUUGACAGAAUCUGCACAACGAGCCCUUGACUGGGCUGUAAAUGAGAAAUUGAAAUCAGGUUAUUUCCUUCAAAACAUGAACUUCUAUAAUUGUUCAUUUAUGAUUUGUGUUGAAAAGAUACUCAAAUGCUUACAUGUACUCUCUAGUAUUGGUAUCUGAUUGAGCCACAUGCUUGUUCUUAUUGUUAUGGUAGGCUUGAUAAUCAGUUUCUUCCUUUUUUUUGGAAAACCAGAAGUGUUGCACUCUCGUUCUCCAUAGUUGCUAGUUUGCUAAAGAUAAAUAAAGAUGCCUAAUAUGAUCUAUUCACAUCCAUUCGUGUUUAAUGAUCUCAUCUCGGGUUAACACAAAGACUAAGUUAGUACAUUGGCAUAGAGUAGGGUACUCUAUGUUUACUUCUGCAACAUUAUACAUAACAUUGUGUUAGUAUACUACAUCAUUAUGUUACCAUUGCAAUCUGGAUGGCUCAUACUAAAAUUGUAACAGGUCACCAUGGCCAUGCUUUUAACAAAUGAUCAUUUCAUGUUACUACUUUAACUCUUUUAAGUACAAAAUAAGUGGCAAAAAUGUUAUAAAAAAAUCCCUAUAUAGACAUAUAGUGGGUCUCUCUAAUACUCUAUACCUAGGUAUAGAUUAGUAGGCCACUCUACUGGAAAAGCGGUAGUUUCUGAUUCAUGCAUCACAUACCCCACCUCGAAUUUGAGUCUUCUUUUUACACUCUGAUAGCCACAUCUUUAGUCCUAUAAAAGACUCAAUUGGUGGCGGCAGUCCGUCACACACUGCAUCACUUGUGUAUUUCGCGCAAAUCAAUGAGAUGACAACAAAUAUGGAUUAUAUGAUAUAAGAUCGUAGACGAUAGGAAUACAUAGUGUAUUUAUUUAAUCUGUAACAACACACAGGUGUCGUGCUAGUAACUAAUAAUACUUCCUCCUAAACAGAAAUGUAUAUUAUCUGUAGAUUACUGAUGAGAACCAACAUGUACAACUGGUUUUCCUCUGAUGUGUUAUAUCUCUUUUCCUUGCAUAAUUUUCUUCAUUUCCCUUAUGAAUGUCUAUCAGACCAUUAGGCUCUGUCCACCUACUGACCUUCAUCUGUAAUAUAAGAGUGUGAAUUGGGUUUAGUGAUGAAAAGAAACACCAGAAUGUCUUUCCUUUCAUUUCUGGAAGUUUGGUUACGCUGAUUAAUCAAACUCUGAAAUUGUUGAUAUGUGAUAUGCCUGCAAUCUAUUAUAAUUUUGCAUCACGCGACUUUUCCCUAGCAUAACAGUAUAUUAUACAUUCCUUUACAUUGCCUAUGCUAGCUAGAUUGUUUAUAUUUGUGACAGAGUUUAAUCUAGAGAUCGAUUUUCAUAUUUAUGCCCACCUCUUGCUAGAGGAGUUGGGCACCCAACACAAAACUAAACAUGAGAACGUUUUUCCAGUUGGUUGGAGAACAUGUUCUGAAUAUUUAACUAAUAUUUCAUUUUCUCAUCAGACGUGCGUAGUUACCAAUCCUGCUAAUGAAAAAAUACAACGCCCCCUAUAGAUGCAGUGAUUUUUAGCUAAUCUCUGUAUAUCCUGUUCGGUGGAAACCAAACUUAGUUUGACAUUGGCCUCCUGGCUCGAGGAGCUUGUAUAUCCUAUUUGGGUAUCCCUACUUCUCAAUAGGUUAUACCAUAAAUGUUUGAAAAGUGAGGGGAUUGCCUCACAAUGACCCGGAGACAACAUAACUAUAUGCUGAUGCUGUGGGCUAUGGACUAUGGAGUCUGCAAUGAAUAGGAUUUCUUAUGGCUGCACCAUUUGAUUUGUAUGACAAAUCCGAGGACAACUUGUAUGGAUAACCAUGUUGUGACAAGUUUAUUGUGGUCUUGGUAACAUUCUUUGCGCCCCUUGAGUCCUAGAAAAACCUUAUGCCCAUUUUAUGUUGGCAUAAUUCCCAAACAGACAAGAGUGUAAGUCAAUGUUGCCAUAAUUUGAUUUUCGAUACUUGGUUGUGUUGACAAGAAUUUGUAAUACUUUGGUUUGUUCCUAAAAAUUGCUAAUAUUCUGUUCACAUCAGCAUGCCAGUCAGUAUUCUUCACAAUUGUUGAGCAAACCAAAAUUCACAAGUUUCAACCAUACUUUGACAUAACUUGGUAAUGCAAAUGUGGCCAUGUGGGCACAAAGCAAGCGGCCCAGGAUGUAGAACUGAAACCAGGCCAGUUUUCACCAAGCAUAGGACCAUAUUCUCAAGCAUCAGAUGCAGCUGAAUUGUUGUAAUGAACUUGUGAAGUGCCCUAAUGCCUAGCCUGCAUGUUUCAUAAAACAUUUUAAGGUUUGGCCUUUUUUUUACCGGGGAAAACAGCAGGAGAGGCUCCUACUGCGCUUGUAUUAAUAUGAAAGGAGAGCUUUACAGGCUACAUGUAUGUACAACAGGAAAAGAGGCAUAGGCCUCUAAAGAACUAAGAAAAAAAGCACUGUAGAAUCUGGUGCAAUUUAAAUUUGAAGGUCUCUUUUGUGGACCUAAAAGCAAGGAGCUCCAGAUCAGCCCUGAGAUAGGCACGCCAGGCACUUAAAGUCGGUGCAGCAUUGUCGAAUAGCUUGGCGUUGCGAACCUUCCAAAUGGCCCAGGCCGCAAGUGUGAAAGUCUCCCAAAAUAAACCUCUUUGCCAGGCAGCCUGAGCAGCAAACAAACGCUCACCAAGCGUGAGAGUGAGAUCCCAGUUGAUGCCCAAAGAGCCCCAGCAAUGGUUUGGCCAUUGAUAUAGAAAAAAUACCAACAUCUGCAAGUCUACAACACCAAACUGAUAGUACCUUAAUGAAGUAUACUUUCAUAAUGCAUUUUUUUAAGAAUAUUGUCACAGUAAUUGAUGGUCAAGGUUUAACUUUGGAGACUUGUCAAUGUCCAUACAACAUGAACUGUGACACGGAGAAAGCUGUUUCAGCAUAUCUUGUAUGGUCGAUGCUUUAGCUAUAGGCGUUAGAACUGCUUGUAUUACGUAUGAAGCCUAAUUCAACCUCUCGUGUUGGCUUUUCAGCUUAGUAUAGUUCCAUUUGAUGUCAUCUCAAAAAAAUGAUUUGGACAGGACCAUGUUUGUUCCACUUUUUUUAAUGAGGUGGGUUAAAAACCACACUGGGUCCGUUAGUAACUCUGUCCGCAACAGUUAUACAAAGUUCUGAUGGGAUUGCUCCUAUUGAUUAUUCAGAACUAUCAUCUAGGAGUCCUUAGCACCUCGGAAACACAGAUACUUCAGAAAUUGUGCGUAUCGGGGGUUGGAUACCUCCGGAUACCCCAAAAUACUUAUCGGAUAUGUGUCGGACGAUUUUCUAUUUUUAAAACUUCCACGAUAUGGCAGGACACGAAAAUACCUAAUGGCCCAAUGCCUAAUCCCACUCUGACCCUGGAUCAAUCCAAUCUUUCUCCCAUCCUGACCUACCGACCUGGGUGCUGGGCGCCGCCGCUUCCCCUGCAGCUGCACCACAACCGGCCGCUCCAUCUGCUGCUGCGCUACCGCUGCUACCGCAGUCCAGUUGUUGAAUGCUGCUCGUGUGCUUGCUGAGUUGUGAUUUCUAUUUUAUCAUGGCAAACUAGGUGGCAAAGAGAGGGCUUUCGCGUGUAAAAUCACUAUUUUUUUAUAUAUUAUCAAAUAUUUAUUUUAUAUAUACAAACAAACGUAUCCCCAUAUCAGGGUUUUUGAAAAAUAUGUCGUAUCACAGUGUCCGUAUCCGUAUCGCCAUAUCCGUGCAUCCUAGCUUAGCACCAGCAUGACCUACUUAGGUUGAUAACUCCAGCUCCACAUUGAAGAGAUGAGAUCUUCAUACACACAGGACUGGGGGGACAGGUAGCAGGCUCGUACCAUUCUGCUCAGGUUAUGACCUGGGACGAUGUUAAGCUUGAAAUUGUGAAUGAUGAUUCUUGAAAGUUAGUAUGAUAGUAGUAUCUUACAAAGCCUGCUGUGAGAAUUGAAGGGGUUGGAGGUCAUUUUUGUUAAGAGUACGUAUAUCUCCCGACAUGCUAUUCAUGAUCUGAAAUUUCAUGCACUAUUGGUAUUAUAAAAUUUGGCAGGCAUCAUACCAGUUUUAAACUCAAUCAAAACUGAUACGGCUUUGACUCCCACUCUUCACGAUUGUCUAGCCUAGCAAACUCAUGAACUCACCCAACAACACUCUGACGAGAUAGCCUUUGGAGACGAACCCAAAUCAACCAAACUCUUGAUGAACCCCUAGUUCCACGCAACCAGGGCAGUUGCUUCUCACAAAUUCAGAAGUAGAAAAGCAAGAACAGGUAGGAAGGCCUUGGAAUCAACACUAUGAGAGGUGGCCUUGGUCUUGGGAAAGGAACAAAGCUUACAUGUCUAAACAUCAUGUCUAUUCUAAUUAGGAGGGGUAGGGAGGUAUAGCCUUGAAGGAAUUGGGCCUAGGUUGGAUACAAGCCAGUGGGCCUGGGCUCAGCCCAUUUGUGCGCCGGCAAACUUGGAUUGUUGAAAUGAAGCCUUACAUGUCAAUCUUUGAGUGAAAGUCUGACGGUCCAACUCGCUCGAAUGGUCCGGGUUCCUUCUGGACUCAGGUCAAGUGGGAUGUCUGGAAGUCAGACGGUCCGACUCUUGGAUUGUCCAGUUUGCUCUCUGUUUUUAGAUGUUGCUGAGGUCAGACGGUCCAACAUGGGCUCAGACAUUUUGGCUUCUCUUCUGUUAUUCACAUCGCGGCCAUCGGCCGAGGACUGGUGAGGGUCGGACAGUCCGACUUGUCUUCAAAAGCUUCAGCCUUCACUCAGGAUUUCUUCUCUUUGUAGGGUUUCUUCUCUCUGUUAAGCCCACGACUUACUCCCUUGCGUACAUGUCAUCUAGCUAUCAACCCUGGAGAUGCAAAGGGUAGGAGUGUCAGAUAGUGCGCCAUUCUUGAGGGCAUUAAGUGGACAGAUGUAAUUGAGGCCACAUAAGUCCAAUCCAAGUGUCUUGUAGUUGUAGCGCUUGAAGUAGUGGAGUCCAUGGGGGGCGCAGUAUCAAAAACCCUUGCACGAAUUGAUUGUCCUAGAUCCAAUUUUAGCUACAUUACAAUAUAGAAAGCGAGUAGUUCUCUUUUUGAAUAUGUUUGUUGCUACAUGUUUGGGGGUAACACUACUUUAUAUAUAUAAGUAUAAUUACUGCAGUUCAACGGAGUGUAAUUUGGUGGAACUCUCUUCUUAACUGCACUUCUGACUUGUUGGUUUUACCUACCUUCAGUUAACAUUGUGCCCUCGAGUCCUGAGUGCUGAUUCCCUUGUAUGGUGUGUAGCACUGUGGCAGGUCUGCACAAACACUUCAGCAUGAUUUGAAGUGUGUUGUGUCUGUUUCUUUCAUUUUCUAUCUGCCCAUGUUUCCAUUAUUCCUUCUUAUUUAAUCUAAUGAGUUGAAUUCUGAUUUCAGGUGAGGAUGGAGAGGUAACGGCCAAUCAUUUGCUCCUGGGGAUAUGGUCAGACAAAGAGUCAGCUGGUCAUAAGGUUCUGGCUUCCCUAGGUUUUGAUGAUGAGAAAGCUGCUUUGCUGGCCAAAACGGUAAUGUCCUAGUUUCUUCGCAGCAUAGAUACUUCACAGAGGUCAUGGCUUCUCAAUUCGUCUACUAACCAUUUGCAGGCUGGCGACGAGGCGACGAUGAGUCCUAGAUAGCAAAUCGAGCAACUAGUUUAUUAUUGAUCUUCUCUGAGGUUAACGCAUGCCCUUGGCAACCUCUAGGCAAUAGUUGGUGACUCCAGAACCGUGGACCCACAAGUAAACGAAGAGAUUGCUAAGAACUGUUAGGUCCAAUCCAAUGUGUGAAGUCCCAAUAUUGCCAAAUGGCCUAUCAUGUAAACGCCUGCAAUGUAUUUUCGAAACCAACACGUUGUUCCGCGCCCAGCUAGAUUUGUGGUCUGCCCUUCAACCCUUCUAAAUAUCCAUAUGCAGAGUAUUUGUUCAAUUUGCAUCCUGACAAACAUUAAGCAUUUUCUGGAAAGUGACUGCUGUUCGUGUCAGUGUGAAAGGUUGAUUGAGUGGGACAUGUAUGGAAAUAUUUCUUAGAUGUAUCAUGAUUUGAUGCUUGGCCAGAAUUUGGGCCUGAAACUAUAGUUUUCUCAUCAUUCUUAUUAGCAGGGGAAGCUUUGCCCACUUUACACCAGAUGUGCAACACGAGGUUGGUACCUGGCACAAUGCUUUGAUUACAAGGACAUCUACCUUCAAAUCUUUUACAUUGUUUAUUAUUUUCACCCUACCUUUGUGCAUUAUAUUUCUGCUUAUCGGCACAUAACUAAGCUGACAGAAGCCAUCAGGGGGGGGGGGGGGGGGGGUUAUACAUUGUAUUCCUGGAUAGGGAAAUAUCAUGGCUCGACACUUAGCAUGUACAUACUGGAAGCUGACGCCAUGUUGGUGUGGUCAGGUGGCCGGCCGCAUUCCAGAGCUUAGGUUUCAGCUCUGAAGUCGUCAUCAGGUAUCAAUUCUAUCUGCCACCGACAGGGCAUUUCCUAUCUGAUCAGAACUUCGGAGAUGAACAGCACAGUCAUGCCUGCUGUCUAGGACAUGAGAAGAAGCAAUGCGAUUAAUUGGAAUUUCUUGCGUGCCACUGCACAAACACGUUCAGAUUUAUGACUCUUGUUUAUCCUCUUUACCCAUGUUUUGAUGUAUCUUUUUCCAAAUUAUGUUGAAUCUACCCUUUCACGUUGCUGCCAUAAUGGCAUUAUAUGUUUCAGAAAGUACAAAGGAGCACUUUGUACUUCUGUGGAAGAAGAAAAAUGUUAAUUCCAAGACUCAUGCUUGCUAGCUAGGAUUGAACUGCAUAUCAAGUCUCCGAGUUAACAAACGAGCAAGCAAAAAGUUGUGUGCAAAUUACGUGUCGUCUAAUUUUAUUUUAUUUUGGUCAAGUUCAAGCGUGCACCGGUAUAGUAUAGUAAUGCAAGAAGACAUAAACAACAGGAAAAAUUCACUUCUCCGGCGCGCUUUAUCGAUUGUUUACUCUUUCGUGUGCCUUAGUUUCCUUGAAUGUUUGCAUCAAAAGGCAUGUGCUCCCCCUUUAUUUUUGGACGAACCGUUUUGUAUCUAUAGACUGAGUUCCUUAGUGUACGGACGUCGUGAUAUCGUGCAUCUCUGUACUCGUUACCAUUAACAGAUACGAGUAAAACCGAAGAUUGCUAAUACAAUGGUGGAGAUGGUGUUCUCCUGUACUGAAUAGCGUUCUCUUGUGAAUCUCUCAUCCAUAUAAGAUAAAUCUCCUUCUUGAUGCGCGUUCUUAGUUCAAUAAAACUCCUUUAUCAAGAAAAAGAGAUUACAUCUCACACAUAAUAGGUACUCCUUUAUCACGAUAAUAAUUUAGAAUCGGAGAGACUAACUAAGUAAGUCCUCAUCCAGAUCUCUUCGGGAACUGAGGCCACUGGUCACCGUCUUGGUCUCCUCCACAGUAGACACAAAUCACUCUCAUAGUUCUCUGCCAACCUACAAGUCAAGGAAUGCAUCCACGAGUAGUCCUGUAGUACUGUACUUCUAUAGAUAUGAUAGCUCAAGUCUAAAGAUCAUGAUCUUUCUUAGACGCUUUGACCAUUAGCAGUAGCACUGGACGGGAUGCAUGGCGUUGGAGGUUGGACCACCACUUGGCAUAUAUAUAUGAUCGAAGGUCUAGAGCUUAGCCUUUAUUUUCCCUAUUUGCAAUCCCUGCCUAAGCUCCUCACGUGCCAUCUAUAUCUGACAGUAGGAGCACCACAGUACUGUGAGACAUGCAGAAAGUUCAGUUCCCUCUCACCUCCACAUUAAAUUCACUGCCAAUAUAAUAGAGUGCACGUCCGGUUCUGAUCCGGCAACGUCGGUCGUGUGCCACCAGAUGCUGGGUUCCUGUGGCGCUGCUCGUCCUAUCAUUCAGUUAUCUGUCUCAGCUCAGGAUAGACCAUGCAUGGUACUGUCGACACAUAUAUAUUAAGGAUUGUUCCAUUGGCCCUUAAAAAAAUUGGAACUGUAUUUAAGUAUACUUCCGUUUCAGUGAUUCUAAUUUUUCCAACAGUGCAUGCAACAACGAGGACAGAACAAAAUCAAAAUGGCGACCGUUCCAUGGAAACAUGGAAGAGAUUGGGCACAUAUGCACACCAUUGACAACCGGACAUGCAUGUUCAUAAGUAAUCUAAAUGUAACUGGUAGUAGUUGUUCGUACGUACUGUACUAUAGUAAAGAAUUUGUUCUUGUUAUUUGGACAUACUCCUGGGGUAUCCAUCCAGGAGGGGGGUUCAUUUCUUGCAUUGUUUGUCGGCAAAACAGACGGUCUACGUACCUGCUGCAGUCUGAGCUGACAUCCUGUCACUGAAACCCAUUACCACCCGCAGGAUUUCUGGGAGGGAGCUACUCCCGACUCACUGAAAGCAAUAGAGAAAUAGUGGGCCCACGUACUUGGACCUCAGCCAAAUUUUGGGAUUCCUAUGCGCUGACCACACGAGUGCAAAUUAAAAAGAGAACUUAGAUUCAUAUUACUUAUUACUUGUUUUAAAUUUGUCAAAUAUGAAUGUAUUUAUGUUUAAAAGCGUCUAGAUACAUGUAAUAUUUCGACAAGUAAUAUGGAUCGGAGGGAGUAAGUGAACUUCUACAUAGGUCGGUCCCACCAAAAUAUUACAUGUAUCUAAACGCUUUUUUGUAUAAAUAUUAGAUACAUUCAUAUUGAGGCAAAUUUGAGUCACUUGAUAUGGACGGAGGAAGUAUUAUGGUGCCAUGAAAUGCAGAUCUGCAGCGCACAUGCAUACUAUCCCGUUUCAAAAAUAGAGGCUGUUCUCCAUAAAUCGUGCAGUCAUAUUUCUCCUUUGACAAUGAAUUAUUUCUCUAGUUCGCAGAAAUAUUGCGUUUCGGAACUGAGAAACCUAAAAAAUCAUAUAGGUUGUUUAGGUGUAAAUGAUAUGAUACUCAUCAAGGGACCACAACACAAAAACUAGAGGGUGUCGAUGGAUAUAUCAGGGUAUAAGUGUUACGCCGUUUUAUUAGAAAAGGACGCCAUAUACUUGACAAGUAUAUGGGUGUGUUUGGAUUAUGCCAACUCUUCUCCUACCGAUUCUUGGCAUCAUUUGGCUAGCCAAAAAAUUGUCUAGGUUUUGGUUUCCCAUGAGUUGGCCAAAUUUGGAACAAAAAUGAACUAGAGUUGGCAAGAAGUCAUUGGCUUACCAAAUUAUUGGCUACAAUCCAAACAAAGACCAAAGUUUUGUUCAUGACCAAAAAUUGGGAAAGGUGGGUUUUGGCUGGCAUCCAAACACACCCUAUAUGACGCUUUGACAUAUUAAAAACAUGUUUGUCCGCCUCAUGGAACAAGACAUAUUUCUAUGUUAGGAAAAGAGUAAAUUUCACAAAAUCACACAUUUUGUGGCCAGGGUUUCACGGAACCACGCAGUUAACGCUAAUUUUCUCAUAAGACCACUACUCUUGAGACAUGCAUGUCUUCGUAAAAAAACCAAAUCUACCGGUUUAGUGCGUUUUGACAACGAUUCCAAUAAAUGGGCCCACAUGUAAGUGUCAUGCCAUCUCUUAAUGGGCUUUUUACUCGACAUGUACUCAACCCGUUCUUGAUCUCCUCCAGGUUCAGGGAUUGGAUAGCGGUUGAUGGUUUGGGUCACUGACCAGAUAUUUUUGCCACGCGGACAAUUACAUUUGGGCUACACAUGUCGGAAACACUGUCAAACCCGCUAAACUGGAAGUUUGGGAUUAUUUGAGAAGCCCUGCCGUGCCUGAUAGAAACAUUAAUUAUGCAUGUAUAAUUUCUAUUCGUAUGUAUUCGACAGGUUCCGAUCACGAUUGUGCAAAUACCCGCACACUAGACAUACACAACGUACUACAUUUAAUUAACUGCUAGCUAGCUCCUCCCAUCGAUCACAAUAUUGUUGAGGUCGGCUACACUGCAAAUUAAGUCCAAACGGCCGUUAUCCUGGAGAUCGAUUGCAUGCAGCAGUUUGCCCAUAAUCGACGACUUAAAGAUAAGUAACUGCUAUACUACCUCUUUACUGACCUCCUGUAAGCAAAAUUAAUGUUGACCGAUUGGACAUAGUAUAUAUAUGUACAGUUCCAGAACAGCUACUACCAAGGAAAAAUGUGCAUGACCAUCUCGACUUCGAUCUAGAAUGUGUGAUGUGUCACUAGUAAUAACGUCACCGCAUCAGAUUGAAACUAAUAUAUGCGUUCACAAUGUGUGCAUCAGUUAUCCCCCUUUUGGGAAAAAAAGAGUACAUGUAAAACAGCUCAGAGAAAGCUAUAUAGUCGUAUGAUUGUGUGAUUAAUUACUGAUUAGCCAGCCGAAUAAUCAUGGAUGCUGGCAUGAUGCAUGUUCAGUUCUUCAUGCGUUGCAGCGUUGGUUACAUGCAUAAACCGUCGAGGAGAAAACUGCGAGCUUUUAAGGUGCAGUGCCGGCGCGUGACGCGAGCAGCCCGGAAUGGCGCUUGUCGUUUCUGGUCAGGCAAUUUUGUAACGGACGACUAAUCGAUCGACGCCUUCCAAAGAAAACAAAAAUUGGGAAGAAACAGAUCCGGAUGGAUGAACGAUGAUAGCAUAGCCCAAGCGCGUGGUCACCACUUACGUACGCUCACUGCUUUUCUUCUUCGAGCGUUAUAACACGGCAUUACGAGUACCGAUAUUUCGUACGUACCCGUACACAUACGAGAAAAUUAAGUUUUGUACAUACGCGCGCACGCGCCAUAUAUAUAGAGUGGGUAAUAAUCCGUUUUCCGGAGUGUGGUACGUACGCGUGAAUAAUAUCUUAAAGAAAAUACCAAUAUUUGUAGCUGGACUUGUACGUUAAUUAUCCAUCAGUGUCAGUAAAUCUAGCUAAUCAUUAGCUUGCUAUGUUCAAGCAGCUGAAAAUUAAUUAAUUAACCCUGCUGGUACUUUAUAAACGAACAUGGCCGGCCGGUCACGAUUAAUUAAUUUUACGAACAAGAAAAAUGAUAAUCCAAAUAUGUAUGAGAGUCGAUGUUGCUCUCCUUGGAGCUAGUCUCGAACGAUCGAUCAGUCUGAUAGCCACACAUAGGUUUGCUGAAUGCAUGCACAGUGCGCGGUAGCUACAUAGCUGCGUGCCGCCUGAUCUCCGAGAAGUGAAAAGUCUUUGACCGCAACGUCAAGCCGGCCGCGGCUACGAUCGAUGGCAAGUGAAGUGAAGUCACAAGCUAUAGCUUUAGUUCCCAUGCAUGCCACGGAAGCGCUCACCUAUAUUCAAUAAUAAACAAAAGAAGCUAGCGCGCAAUACACAGCUAGCGUAUGGAGGGGAAGAAUGUCAUGUUAGCCUCACGUGGGGAGAGACUACUACUCACUACUACAGCAGCUGAGCAGCUGCCUCGCCGGUACUGUAGCGGCGGAAUGUGUGCGAGAGAGACCCCUCAGGCCGGCGCCGAGUCCACCAAUGCAGCGGAUGCUCGACUUCUUCCAGAGAGAAAAAUAAUUCAUCAUCGAUCGAUCUUCUCUCUGUGUGUACAUAUAUUCAUGUUGUAUGUUUGUGUGAUGGAUGUAUCGAAUAUCGAUCGAUGCGAAUUGGGAAGAGGGACGGACACGAACGACGUACAGUGCGUGGUUUUCGUCCGGCCCCCUUUGCUAGCUCUUCUCUCGCAUAUGCAUGUUUGCUUCACGCAAUCUUCUAGCCCUUAAGAGAGCGAAAGAGCAGAAAGAGAAGUGUGUAGAGAGGGAAAGAAAGAAAGGAAGAAAGAAAGAAAGAGAAGGAGGCCGGCCGGGUGGUACCAGCCAGCUGCUGCUGCUAGGCUUCCUUCCAUGCCGUGGCUUUAAAGUCUCAUCAAUACCACAAAAACAAAGAAACUACACAUAUAUUGCUAGUAGCAGUAGGACGAGCAGGGAAAGCAUAUGUGAGAAAACGGAAAGAAAGAGAGGGGAAAAAAACGAAAAAUCGAACUGGAGCUGUAUCUGUAACCCCCCAUGACCUUCUACCAAUAGGACAAACACCAAAAAGGAGGAGAGAUCGGAGAGAAGUGGGCUUUUCCAUAUUUACACAUAUGCCCUUCCGGCCUCUCCAGCCGCUUCUCUUCUUCCCCUAUAUUGGCAGCCUGGCCUCCCCCAUUCGACCCUCUCUCCCCGUCCCUCUCUUUCUCUCAACCUCUGUGCCAAGUACCAACACUGGCGAUGAGCACUUGUUUUAUCCUAUAACGAGCAAGUGCCCAGAGCAGAUAUAAGGAUCGGAGCGCGAGCGCAGCCAGCAGCUGGUAGUAAAACCCUCUCUCGGGAGAGGGGAUCGAUCGUUCGAUCCGGCAAUGAGCUCGGGAGGCGGCACCAGCGCGCACGGCGGAGGGCCGAGCGGAAGCGGCAGCGGCGGCGGCGGUGGCGGGCCGUGCGGCGCGUGCAAGUUCCUGCGGCGCAAGUGCGUGAGCGGCUGCAUCUUCGCCCCCUACUUCGACUCGGAGCAAGGCGCGGCGCACUUCGCGGCGGUGCACAAGGUGUUCGGCGCCAGCAACGUGUCCAAGCUCCUCCUCCAGAUCCCGGCCCACAAGCGCCUCGACGCCGUCGUCACCAUCUGCUACGAGGCCCAGGCCCGCCUCCGCGACCCCGUCUACGGCUGCGUCGCCCACAUCUUCGCCCUCCAGCAGCAGGUAUAUCCUAGUACGAAUCACCCGGCCGGUGUCAGCUCCAUGAUCGAUGAUCACUCCUGUUUGCCUUGCAUGUCCAUUCGAUGAUUACCCUCUGGAAACCUAGCUGGUUAGAUAGUAGCAGUAAUGCCAUGCACCGCGAGCGGAGGCUCGAAUCGAAUUGCUGACCAGUUUUGCAUGCCAUGCGUAUGGAUCUGGGGUCUUUCUUCCUCGUCCUGGAAGGAACUUGGCGUGUUUCUUUCUCCAGAAAGGUAAGUCUACUUUGGGGAGGGAGGAGAGGAAAUUAACACGGCCAAGCCAAGCAACGGCAGUGCGAAAAGGGGCACGCCAAGCGCUAAACCUGGAGGCUGCUUCCCCCAGCUGGACUUUAAUUAAUUAAUUUGCGAUGAAUGAUAUAUAUAUUUGCAGCGCAUGACGUCUCAUCCGCCGCGUCGACCGAUCUUCGAACCCCCCCGUCCGUAAAAUCGUACACCCAUAUCGUCCAUCACGCCACGUAUGUACACACACAAACGCACCAUGCAUAUACUUGCGUUACUACUAGGAGCAGUAGUAGUCCAUCUUGGGUUCCGAAGUUCCAUCUGUGACCGGCCCCGUGCAUGAUGAAAAGAAAUUAAGCCCUAGCCAGCCAGCACCGAUCUCUAGUCCUAGAAGUCCCAACCAAACUCGAUCGCGUCGUUUUUUUAGAUCUUUUGUCACCUUUCAGACCCUCACUUCGUCGUGAUGUCUCCGUUAUUAUAUACACGCAUGCAUGUGAUCGAUGACUCUACAUUUUCGCAAUAUUGUGUGAUUUGAAUCAAUACUAAUGUAAUGCACGAGUGCAUGACUGACUAUACUGUAUAUGUGUCCAUAACGCCGUGCGAUGAUCAUUUCCUUCCCUGCAGGUGGUGAAUCUCCAGGCCGAGCUGACAUACCUGCAGACCCACCUGGCGACCCUGGAGCUGCCGUCCCCGCCGAUCCCGGCCGCCACGCCGCAGAUGCCGACGAUGGCGCCGCCGGGCCCGUUCUCCAUCUCCGACCUCCCGUCGUCGACCCUCAACAUCCCGACCACCAUCGACCUCUCCGCACUCUUCGACCCGCCGGCGCAGCUGCCGCAGUGGGCGCUACAGCAGCAGCAUCACCACCACCAACACCAGCUCCGGCAGCCCCCCUACGGCGGCGCACAGGCUCCCAGGGCUUCCUCCAGCAUGUCAGCUGCCGAGGCCUCAGGGGCUGGCGGCGGCGGCGGCGACUUGCAGUCGCUGGCGCGGGAGCUACUUGAUCGCCACGGCCGGUCCGGCGUGAUCAAGCCCGAGCAGCUGCCGCCGCCACGGCCGCCGCAUCCAAGAUGAUCAGAAGCUUCGGUUCUUCAAGCCGCGCGCCAUGGCCCGUUCAACGAUUACGGACGUGUAUUUGUGGAAGAAGGCCGGACGGGUGACAUGGCGCGCGCCAGAAGAGAGUUUGGGCCUGCUUGGGGCGCGGGAUUAACGUACUAGAGAGGGGUUUUGGGAUCGGUGAUAUGGUGAGCAGCGAUCAAUUAUAAUCGAGUAGGUAAAGGAUGCAGCUAGCAUUGGCCGGUUUUCGCGUAUCCACCUUGUUGUUAACCAAGGGUGCAAGGGCGCCCACUUGCUCGAUUAUUAUACCACAAUUAACUUGGCUUUCCUCCAACGGAGGACGGUGGAGACUGGAGAGGAGAUCGUUUCGUUCGGGUGUCGCGUAGCGCCAGUAGUGGUACGAGCAGGGUACUACUUCCAGUAGCAGUUUGACAUGUAGCAGUGUUUUCUUUUGUCACCGGACGUCGUUCCAUUGAUUGCAAGAUUUUUAAGAAGCUUCCAUUCCUGGCUUAUACUACUCCGUACUCCUAUAUCUCACCUGUUGAUCACACUAGCUACUUACUCAAUCGAACUACAGUAGCUGUUUUCAAUGCAUUUAUGACCUUCUCUAAAUUGGUUUUUCCAUCUAUAGAUUGUGUGCAUAUUCGGACGAGCUAGGAGAGAUCGUGCACAAGUAUAACUUAUUUAUUUUAUUCAUUUUUUCGACGGAGAGUUACAGUAGUACGUGCUGUGACGCAACGUACAGUACGCAGAAGUCACUUCCUACUUGGAGUCAUGAACAGCUCCUCAGCUUCUCUGGAUAGGGGGACAUGUGGCUAUGCAUGAUCGACCCCACGUUUGAGUAGAUGAGAGAUAAAAGGAAUAUGGUUUUGGUCCGUAGUCGAUUUGUCAGCGAUCCAGCUUUGACUAUGACCAAUGUUAUGUGUUGUCCGCCGCGCUGUUGCUUGUAGGUUUACGUAUGCCCCCGUAUCCCGGUGUCGGCUGGAAAGGGAAAUUAAUGUGUGCAAGUAUAACUUGUGUACAUCGUUUUUAAUUGUUGUAGAUUCGUGCAUUUUCAAAAUGAAAUCAUGCACAUGAAUGUCCACUGAAUUUCCAACCCCUGUGAAAUCCGCCUUGUUGGUCAAACAAUCUAGCUGAUCGGGUUUUGCCGUUUAUAAAUUAGAGGCGUGACCUGACCAUCAAGUUUAGAGGGAUGAUCUAGAGUCUGUUCAUAAUGCAAGAAAGUUGUCACAGCUAAUUAAUUACCUUUAGCUAUCCUUAUACGCGACGAAGUACAAGCAGCUUUAAAUAAAGUCUCUUCUUAAUUUCCCUCCCUAUCUAACAAUAAAAACGACUGGAAGUGCAUGAUUACUUGGGCAACCAGUUUGGAUUGCUGAUCUGCGGAAACAAUUCCUGAUUGAAUCAAGUGAUGUUACGUGUUGUGACACUGGGGUGUAGGGCUCCACAAAGAGCACGCAACGGGUCAAUCAUUUCCCUGCGCACGCAUUCCAUCAGUACGUACACGAGCUAAGUACACAUCACACUUCCUUAUCUCCAAAAUCCAAAUGUACUAGUACUCCGUAUUUAUGAUAUGAUCGACUUGUCAUGUAAUGCAAGAUCAAUAAUCCCAGCACCCGCGCAUGCCCAUAUUGAUGAACGAUCGAUCAUAUCAUUUCAUGUGAUGCACCAUCCAUUAAUCGUGUUUCACAAUCGAUGGGCAUUAGGCCAUGUCUCAUCUCCUGGUCACAUGAGGCAACGAGUCUGUACUGUUUACGUUUUGCUUGGUUUUUUCUGACACUGAUCUCUGUAUCCAUACAGUUUUUUUUUGAGCGACUGAAUCCAUACAGUUGAUGUGCAAUAGUCAGACAAGUCGCAGGACACAGGCUGUCAAGUGCAAUAGUGGAUUUUAUUUGGCCCAUCGACUGUCUUCUCGAUCAAGCUGGGCCUGGUAGCAAAAAUUGUAUGGGCCUUAAAGCAGACGAGGCUAUUAAGUCAAUAUCGGCCCGGCCCAAGGCUUGUACCCUGCCGCCGUUGAAGUCAUCCCACUGUCAGUGGAAUAGCAUCACUCACCCUCGAUCGCAGCAGCCUGCCUCUAAUCGCUGACUGGCAAGUGGGGCCGACAUAUGGUCGUUCCCACCAGCCAAAUCUACGCACGCGACCAUCUCUCUCUCUUCUUCUCCCUCUUCGCCCCACUCGGCGAUCCGAACCCCCGGAUCGCACCGCGUCAGUCCCCUCCCCGCCCCGCCCAGAUCCAGAUCCACACACGGCGCGGCACAGCCGCGGCCACCCGGAAUCCUUCGAGGAAUAAUGGCCUCCGCGGCAGCGGCGCCGCCGCUGUCCUCGCCGGAGUCCGACCCGCGCCUCGUCGAGGCCUUCGUGCCCUUCCUCGAGAAGCUUGUGAAGAACGCCUCGUGGCGCAACAAGGCGCACUCCAAGCUCUCCCACACCGCCAAGUCCAUCCUCGACCGCCUCGGGAAGCCCCCGCCCUCCUCACCCACCGCGGCGCAGACCCCGUCCACCCCGACCUCACCAUCCACGCCGACAUCGUCCUCAUGGCAGCCGGGCCCGCUCCGCAGCCUCUCGCUCGAGGACUCGGAGCUGCUCCUCUCUCCCAUCUCCUCUGCGCUCGGCUCCGGUAGCGCCAAGCUCGCUGAGGCCGCGCUCGAGCUCCUCCACAGGCUCAUCGCGCACUCCUACAUCCACGGUGAGGCCGACCCGUCGGCUGAUCCCUCGGCCCAGCUUGUGGCGUCCCUUCUCGAGGCAGCCUGCAAUGCGCUCCACCUCGACGACGAGCACAUUGAGCUCCUCCUCCUUAAGACUCUCCUCUCGGCGGUCACCUCCACCUCGGUGCGCCUCCAUGGCGACUGCCUGCUCCGUGCCGUGCGCGCCUGCUAUGAUAUGUACUUGGGGAGCCGUAGCACCGUGAAUCAGGCCACUGCCAAGGCGUCGCUCGUGCAGAUGUUGGUAAUAGUGUUCCGCCGCAUGGAGGCAGACUCGUCCACUAUUCCGGUGCAACCCAUCGUAGUGGCUGAAGUGAUCGAGUUGCCUGACGCUAGUUCAGGAGCAUCACCCACCGCCGAUGCCAACUUUGUACAGGGAUUCAUUUCAAAGAUCAUUGGGGACAUUGAUGGUGCACUCACACCUCUGGCACGGACAACUUCGUCAGCUGGGGCAGGGGCUGCUGUGGCUCAUGAUGGUGCUUUUGAGACAACAGCAGCAGCGGAGGAAGGGGCAAACCCCGCAGACUUACUUGAUUCGACGGAUAAGGACAUGCUGGAUGCCAAGUACUGGGAGAUCAGCAUGUACAAGACCGCGCUUGAGGGUCGCAAGGAUGAGCUUGGUGUAGAGGGAGCAGUGGUGGCCACUUUGGAUGACGAUGCUGACGUGAGGAUUGGGAAUAAGUUGCGGAGAGAUGCUUUUUUGGUUUUCCGGGCAUUGUGUAAGCUCUCGAUGAAGACACCGCCAAAGGACGCGCCAGCUGAUCCAUUAGUAAUGCGGGGGAAGAUCCUUGCUCUUGAACUUCUUAAGAUCUUGCUUGAAAACGCAGGGGCUGUGUUCCGUACCAGCGAGAGGUACAAAUGCCCUUCCCUGAAACUUGAUCUAUUUAUUUUGCCUCAGAUAUUGUAAGUUCCUUUCUAUAAUCUGGCAACAACAACAUUUAGCAAAAUUUAGUGUACCACUGUAUUCCGUGAAAAGAUUAAGGAAAGCAGGAGCUUUUAGCCAAUUAUCCAUGAAAAGAUUAGCCACUAUUUUUUUUAAGGGUAGCUCAGUUGAAUUAAUCUGUAGUUAUGUUGCUGCUUUUAAUACCGAUGCUACACAAAAUCAGUAUUGAAAUUCUCGUUGCAAUUUACAGAACUUAUAGGCGUGAAUCAGUAUUGAAAUUCUCGUUGCAAUUUACAUAAGUUAUAAGCGUGUAGUUUAUACUUGUUACUCAGAUAUUGACAUUGGAAUUCACUGAAGUUGAUCGUUCUCACACAAAAAAGAAUUGGUAAGGAUGAUUCUGCUAUCGGCAUUUCCUGACAACAUUACCAGAUCCUGCCCUGAUAUCGAUGUUAGGUUUACAAUCGUAAUGUGUACCAAAGUGUAGUUGCUAAAUUUUAUUGGAAAUGUGUAAUUGCCCUUAACAGUGAGAAGUGCAGCGUGAUGUCUGGGAGGUGUUGGGUACUAUGUAAACAAAAUAUAUAGAGAGAGAUGGUAUAGUUGUAAAGACAAUCAAUGGAAGUGUGAGGCGAAAGGGUUGAAAGUUUGCUAAAGCCCAGCCCUACAUAGUCUUUGUUGCCGAUUAAGCCAAAAGGUUAACCAGGAGUUCUGUAUGUUUGGACCAUCAAGCAUUUUAUGCUACUACUCCACUCUAUAAAUCUCCAUUCGGGGAUCAAUCCUCCCACCACUAAGCAAAUUGCAAACUUGGAAGGUGGCCAAAUUACCAGCAGGUACACAUUGUUGCCGUGUGUUCUCCAGUGGACCACACGCCUGCACCCUCAUGCCAUGAUGGUUAUGCUUUGAUGCCAUAUGUAACGCCCCAGAGGUCUAAAGUUAUGUAAAUCCAGACACCAUGCUCAACGGGCCAGUAACAGUUGCCAGCUUGCUUUGCUGCUGUACACUUUAAGCUCUGGACGUGGGAAUUAUUCCACAGCUGCUUCUCUUUUGCCACAUGGGACACCAUUAAUUGGACGAGGGUUUUAUAGGAAGAUCAUGGAGUAUAAAUAGAUAGAGAAAUAUAUAAACUCAGUUCCAUUUGAGAGGAAUUAGAAAGAGAAAUAUAUAAACAAAUAGUACAGGAUCACUAUUCAUGCUGAUUUAUUUGGACUUGAAAUUUUACAAGUAUUACUUGUUGGGAUUUUUUUGGAACAAUUAUACGUUUUCAUGAAGUGAUAGCCGCCAAAGAUACGCUGCUAUGAGAGUCGAUUGUGAUUAUGAGAUUAUCUGUGUUGUCUUUGCUGGUUGUUUGUGUUAAUUGUUAAGUUAGAAACACAGGAAGCUUGUUACUGAGAGAUGAUUGAAGUAGUAGUAUUGGACAUGUGGAAGUCAGCCUACCGAGGAAUAUUGUAUUGUGUACUUUCCACAUAGAGCAGCGCCUUGUCCAAUAUUAUGCUCCGCUGGUGUAAUUAAUAAAGUUGUAUCUUGAUACUGACAUUGCUAUACUAGCACUUUCUUAUCAACUGCAAUGGUGUUCUUUUACCCUAUGUUACAUAGUACGGGGAUACGGGUACGGGGAUACAGGAGAACUGCAUUUUUUAAGCCUUACGGGGAUACGGCGAGUAUAAGUAUAAAUACAAGAAUAAGCACCAACUAAAAAAUAUUAAGUGGAUGAGAGAUUGAAGAUGGACCAAGAUUGGAUGGAGCAGCGACCAGCGAGGUGUUGCUGGCGGCGUGCUGACUUUGGCGUCGUUUGGCGAUGCACCUAGAGGAGAGAGCUGCACCGAUUUGGCACCUUUGUGCCGUAUCCCUGCAUCCCUGCCUUUACCCAUCUUCUUGAUGUUUUUAUUCUUCAUGAAUAACAUUACAAUUUUGUCUAACUAUUUUAUUUCAUCUUGCUCAGGUUUCUAGGUGCUAUUAAGCAGUAUCUGUGCCUAUCACUUUUGAAGAACUGUGCCUCGUCACAUAUGAUUGUUUUUCAGUUAUCUUGUUCUAUUUUUAUUAGCCUGGUUUCAAGAUUCAGGCCAGGAUUGAAGGCAGAGAUUGGAGUAUUUUUUCCCAUGAUCAUUCUGAGAGUUCUGGAAAAUAUUGCACAACCAAAUUUUCAAGCAAAGAUGAUAGUUCUUCGUUUUUUGGAGAAGCUCUGCACUGAUUCUCAAAUCUUGGUUGACAUUUUCAUUAAUUACGACUGUGAUGUCCACUCAUCAAACAUAUUUGAAAGGUACUGCACCACUCACAUUUCAUUACUAUACUUGAGUAUUAUUAGUGAGGUUUCUUAUUCUUUAAAAUGUCAUCUCAGAAACUUAUUUAGUUCUAUGUUACAUUUUCUUGAUUUUGUGGAACAGGAUGGUCAAUGGUCUGCUAAAAACUGCUCAAGGACCUCCUGCUGGUGUCUCUACCACACUGGUGCCGCCUCAGGAUACCACAAUGAAGAGUGAAGCAAUGAAAUGCUUAGUUUCCAUUCUGAGAUCCAUGGGAGAUUGGAUGAAUAAGCAGCUACGUAUUCCAGAUCCUGACUCUCCUAAUGUUGAAUCAGAGCAAAACGAUAACGAUGGUGGAAGUGAGCUUCCCCAGAUAGAGAACAAUGGAGAUGCUUCUAGUGAAGCAUCUGAUUCACAUUCAGAAAUAUCGAAUGGGGUUUCAGAGGCUGCAUCUUUGGAGCAGCGCCGAGCUUACAAAAUGGAACUUCAGGUGGAUCUCAUUCUACAUCUAGUUAUUUGAAUCUGCAUUUGUCGAUGAGACUGUGACAAUGUGCUGUCUGCUGUUCUUUCAUGAAUGACUUGCCACUGUUGCAUUAUCUUAUAGUUAUGUUGUUUUGUUCCCCCUUUUUUAAUGUGGCUGAUUGAUUUUUGAAUGGCAGGAGGGUAUCUCUCUUUUUAACCGGAAGCCUAGAAAGGGAAUUGAAUUUCUAAUAAAUGCAAACAAGGUUGGGGAGUCACCUGAGGAAAUAGCUGCUUUCCUAAAAAGUGCUUCUGGCUUGAACAAGACUAUGAUUGGUGAUUACUUAGGGGAGAGGGAAGAUUUGUCUCUCAAAGUCAUGCAUGCAUAUGUGGAUUCAUUUGAUUUUCAAAACAUGGAAUUUGAUGAAGCGAUUAGAGCCUUUCUUCAAGGUUUCAGGUUGCCUGGAGAAGCUCAAAAGAUUGACCGGGUUAUGGAAAAAUUUGCAGAACGUUACUGCAAAUGCAACCCAAAGGCUUUCUCCAGUGCAGAUACAGCUUAUGUCCUUGCUUAUUCAGUCAUAAUGCUUAACACUGAUGCACAUAACCCAAUGGUCAAAAAUAAGGUAUUUUUAAAUUAUACUUGUCGAAAUUAUUUACACAUUUUCUGAUGCUUUUGUAAUUUAUAUUAAUUGAUGCAGAUGUCGCCUGAAGAUUUCAUAAGAAACAAUCGUGGUAUCGAUGAUGGAAAAGACCUGCCUGAAGAAUUUAUGAGAUCCUUGUAUGGAAGAAUUUGGAAAAAAGAGAUUAAGAUGAAAGAAGACGACUUUGUUCCUCAACAGCAUCAAUCAACAAGCUCUAACAAAAUUCUUGGGUUGGAUAACAUUCUUAACAUUGUCAUACGCAAACGAGGUUCGGCUAUGGAGACGAGCGAUGAUCUCAUUAAGCAUAUGCAGGAGC
This 33371-nucleotide long non-coding RNA is filed under the name Brachypodium distachyon (stiff brome). RNAcentral's name for it is "long non-coding RNA (BDIS_LNC001400)". Lineage: Eukaryota; Viridiplantae; Streptophyta; Magnoliopsida; Poales; Poaceae. The record is from RNAcentral.